GAUGAACGCUGGCGGCGUGCCUAAUCCAUGCAAGUCGAGCGAACAGACGAGGAGCUUGCUCCUCUGACGUUAGCGGCGGACGGGUGAGUAACACGUGGAUAACCUACCUAUAAGACUGGGAUAACUUCGGGAAACCGGAGCUAAUACCGGAUAAUAUAUUGAACCGCAUGGUUCAAUAGUGAAAGACGGUUUUGCUGUCACUUAUAGAUGGAUCCGCGCCGCAUUAGCUAGUUGGUAAGGUAACGGCUUACCAAGGCAACGAUGCGUAGCCGACCUGAAAGGGUGAUCGGCCACACUGGAACUGAGACACGGUCCAGACUCCUACGGGAGGCAGCAGUAGGGAAUCUUCCGCAAUGGGCGAAAGCCUGACGGAGCAACGCCGCGUGAGUGAUGAAGGUCUUCGGAUCGUAAAACUCUGUUAUUAGGGAAGAACAAAUGUGUAAGUAACUAUGCACGUCUUGACGGUACCUAAGCAGAAAACCACGGCUAACUACGU
Molecule: ribosomal RNA, 496 nt
Filed under: uncultured bacterium
Lineage: Bacteria
Description: partial 16S ribosomal RNA
Rfam family: Bacterial small subunit ribosomal RNA
Source: RNAcentral